AAGCCAUUAUGCGGGCAAUCUGUUACCAGCCUCUUAAACCUCACCCAGGCGUCAAUGAGCGAUUCGUCAAUAUUCUGUUCAAAAUUAGUGAUCGACUUCCUUGUUCU
Molecule: small nucleolar RNA, 107 nt
Organism: Benincasa hispida (wax gourd)
Lineage: Eukaryota; Viridiplantae; Streptophyta; Magnoliopsida; Cucurbitales; Cucurbitaceae
Source: RefSeq, a predicted model, not a curated record